GUUCUUUCAGCAAGCUCCAUAUCAUCUUGAAGUUGUAGAACAUACUGGCUAAGAUCUUUAUUGUGUUGUAGUUGAGCAGGUCUCUCUACCAAAACAUUAUUGAAGGCGCUUAACGUGACCUUUAACCUUUUCCAGCAUUGAAGACAACAUAAGACACCAAUUACAGUGAAAACUGGGAUCAGCGCUGUCAUAUUGCAUGCUACCACUACCAUCUUCUGGAAUCCUUUACAACAGCUCAAACUCAGGACUUUUAGUUCUUGAAUGACUAUCUUGCAUCUGCGGCUACUGACUUUAACUGAUAUAAGAGUCCAGAUUAUGCAGAAGAUGGAAAUAUGUGUCCCCCAUAAUUAUGCUCCCUCCAAGUAAAGGAAAGGAAAUGGUUAUUUAAAACAAAUCAAAUCAAAGGGGUUUAUGAAGAUUGUGUGAAUUAUGCAGAGCUUAAAAGCUGUGGCAUUAUAUGAAACAAAUCAAAGGAGUGUAUGAUGAUUGUGUGAAUUAUCACUUAAAAGCUGUGGUAAUAUAUGAAACAAUAUAUAUGGAAGGAUUAAGGUAAGG
This 555-nucleotide long non-coding RNA is filed under the name Helianthus annuus (common sunflower). The record is from RNAcentral. Lineage: Eukaryota; Viridiplantae; Streptophyta; Magnoliopsida; Asterales; Asteraceae.